CACGUAGUUGGCCGGUGCUUCUUCUGCGCCUACCGUCACCACGCCAAAACGUGGCUUCGUCGACACUGAAAGAGGUUUACAACCCGAAGGCCGUCAUCCCUCACGCGGCGUUGCUGGAUCAGGCUUCCGCCCAUUGUCCAAUAUUCCCCACUGCUGCCUCCCGUAGGAGUCUGGGCCGUGUCUCAGUCCCAGUGUGGCCGGUCACCCUCUCAGGCCGGCUACCCGUCGAAGCCUUGGUAGGCCAUUACCCCACCAACAAGCUGAUAGGCCGCGAGCACAUCCCCCACCGCUAAAGCGCUUUCCACCACCACCCAUGCAGGCAGCCGUGUGCACCACGUAUUAGACCCCGUUUCCGAGGCUUAUCCGCGAGUGAAGGGCAGAUUACUCACGUGUUACUCACCCGUUCGCCGCUCGUGUACCCCGAAGGGCCUUACCGCUCGACUUGCAUGUGUUAAGCACGCCGCCAGCGUUCGUCCUGAGCCAGGAUCAAACUCU
This 495-nucleotide ribosomal RNA is filed under the name uncultured Nocardioides sp. RNAcentral's name for it is "partial 16S ribosomal RNA". The record is from RNAcentral. Lineage: Bacteria; Bacillati; Actinomycetota; Actinomycetes; Propionibacteriales; Nocardioidaceae.